GGAGCGGCGGCGAUAGCUGGCGAGAGGGAGCGUGCGGCGCCGGCGGCGACCUAACUUGUAGCUUUGAAUCCACCUCGCGCGAGCGAGCGGCGGCGAUAGCCGGCGCGAGGGAGCGCGCGGCACCGGCGGCGGCGACCCCACCUAACCUGUAGCUUUGAAUCCGCCUCAAGCUCUGGAUUCGAUUCGCUUCAUCACAAUGGAGGCCAGCGAUUCUCGUAAAAAAUGGCACCUGAUGAAGACGACGAUGACCUGACUAGCUGGACUGUAUGUGUCGACACACAAAACUCCCCCGUGCAGAAUGACCCAAGUUUAUGUGUUAAAAGCAGUGGUGGUGCAAACUGCAAGGUAUCCACCACAUGCGCCAAUGAAUUAAAGAGUUACUGGACGCAAUUGCGAACAUGUGCCAUGCCUGAAGAACCAUCAACACCAAUCAAGCGUUCUGGAGACAAUCAAUGAGGUGGAUGAUGGACCUGCACAAGAUGAUGAUCACAUUGAAUGUUGGACUAAGAUUUUUCCUCAAGAUGACUGCGAGCGAGAACUCGAGCAAUUCUUUGUUCUAAGGCCUAAAACAUGAUGUCCGUGAUAUCCACAAGCUCAAGAAGACCAGUCUGGUCAGAGCGAUGAUAAGGCAGGUGCAGAUACUUGUACAGAUAACUAUGUGAAAUCUAGAACUGCACGUUGUU
Long non-coding RNA from Triticum dicoccoides, 683 nucleotides. RefSeq lists it as uncharacterized. The record is from RefSeq and is a predicted model, not a curated record. The transcript is spliced from 3 exons. NCBI's taxonomy places the organism in Eukaryota, Viridiplantae, Streptophyta, Magnoliopsida, Poales, Poaceae.